RNAcentral lists this unclassified non-coding RNA (336 nucleotides) under soil metagenome. RNAcentral's name for it is "partial contains 5.8S ribosomal RNA, internal transcribed spacer 2, and large subunit ribosomal RNA". The stretch from base 1 to 120 matches the Rfam family "5.8S ribosomal RNA", at positions 35 to 154 of the family's 154-position model. The record is from RNAcentral.
GAUGAAGAACGCAGCGAAAUGCGAUAAGUAAUGUGAAUUGCAGAAUUCAGUGAAUCAUCAAAUCUUUGAACGCACAUUGCGCCCGCCAGUAUUCUGGCGGGCAUGCCUGUUCGAGCGUCAUUUCAACCAUCAAGCCCCCGGCUUGUGUUGGGGACCUGCGGCUGCCGCAGGCCCUGAAAAGCAGUGGCGGGCUCGCUGUCACACCGAGCGUAGUAGCAUACAUCUCGCUCUGGGCGUGCUGCGGGUUCCGGCCGUUAAACCACCUUCAUAACCCAAGGUUGACCUCGGAUCAGGUAGGAAGACCCGCUGAACUUAAGCAUAUCAAUAAGCGGAGGA